Molecule: long non-coding RNA, 2746 nt
Organism: Myxocyprinus asiaticus (Chinese sucker)
Lineage: Eukaryota; Metazoa; Chordata; Actinopteri; Cypriniformes; Catostomidae
Exons: 3
Source: RefSeq, a predicted model, not a curated record
AGAAGAGCAUCUUUCAAACUCUCCAGCUCACUGUCCAGACUACAAAACAGCACAAGAAUUAUUCAAUUUUAGUGAAAAAUAAAUAUGAAUGAUUAUAUAAGCCAAAACAAUGCCAUGGAUCAACAUUUAUAGAGUAAUCCAUUAUUGUGUAGAGAAAGGUCAGAAUGAAAAUUUUCACCUCAUAUUUUGGAGCAAAACUACAGAUGUUUCUCCCACUCAAGAUCUAAAACAUCGUUCACGUCCUCCAUGGCAAACUUAACAUACUGGUACAACCGCCGGAUCUCCUGUUUAUGAAAACACACUUUCAGAUUCUAGUAACGUUAUUUACCACAUCAGUGACAUGCAGUCAGUUACUAAAAACAAUAAAUUUGACUCGUCUGGAAUGAUACAUUUUAGGGAUGUCCUAAAAUAUCGAUAUAUCGAUUAUUGAUCAGCACGUUAUUUUAUCAAUAUAUUUUUGUGCCAUCGAUAUAUUAAAAUUAGCCGACAUUUAAAUUAGAAGCCCGAUUGGCAUGCUUUCCAAUUCACUCAGUUGGCCUCUGUUUAACAGACUGCCGUUAUAGCGUUGGGAGACCACAAGAGGGCGAUAUACCAUUCACUGAAGUCGGUAGCGGUCACGAUCACACACACACACACACACACAGGAUGAGCUGGAGCGGUGCAGCUGAUGGCAGUCCAAAGUUACGAAGGUUUUUGUACUACUUCAAGAAUGAACAAAGUGACAUUGAUGAGUUUGCAGCAAAACCCUCCAGCAGACUGGUCUUCAGCAUGCUGAUGUCUCCAUGCAGAGACUGCAGGCAAAGAAUUAAAUAAUGACCGUUACACCUCAAACUGAGAACUUGAACAACAUUUACAGAACCUAACUUUAUCAGUUUAUGACAGAUUUAAAUUGAUUUAAACCUUAUUAUUUAAAAAAGGUAUGGUGGUGAUACCAGUUCUGGUACCAGGAGGUAAUAUCAUCAUAGUUUAAUAUACAGUAUACAAUGGUACUCCAAUAAAACCAUGUUACAUGUCCAAAAACAAUGGCAUUAUGAUGGUACCAUAUACAAAAAUGAUGGUUAUACUAUGGUACUUUUGGCAUUUUGUAGUUAGUGCAUGUGUGUGAGUUGUACGGAGCCCCUAAGAGGACAGGCAGGUCAUUUAUUUUCUGAAAUCAUUUUGCGUUCCAUCAUGAUACGUUUUGCGUUCCCUCGCAAUAGUUUUGCAUCCCCUAGCAAUUAUUUUGGGUUCCCUCGCAAUACCUUUAUCUAUCCUUUACCAUAAUUAACCAUUGUUUUACUACAGUAACCAUAAUUGAACUAUGGUAUUUGUGUUAAAACAAUAGUAAUAAUACAGGAAAACCAAAACUAUGGUAAUAAAAAUCAGUCAUUCUGCCAAAAAAUUAAAAAUAAAGACAUGGUUACUACUGUUUUACUACUGCAUAGUAUUGUUUUUAAAACUAUGGCUUCCACCAAAAUUACAAUUAACCAUUGUUUCACUUAGUGUUGUCAUGGUACCAAAACUUCAGUAGUCGGUACCGAUACCAGUCAAAUGUCACUGUUCUCGAUACCAAUUUCAAUACCACAGAAAAAACGUUGCUAAUAUGAUAACGUGACAGCUAUUGAAAACACUCCUUUAGCCUAUUUAACGUUACAUUUCAAUGUGAAUAAUAAAUGAAAAGACAUGCAUGUUUCCUUCGAGUGUUUCUAACACUUGUUUGUUUUUAAGCUGGGCCCUACUGAAAUCUGUUUUAUUUUUUCCCCAAAUUCCUUUUUUCCUUUUUUUUUGUAAUUAUUUUUCCAGAAUUCCAUGUUUUAAAGUUUAAUACAAUUUAAUGAUCAAAAUGGUGUCUAAUCAAAAAAAUUUCAUUAAACUUUUAAAAACUUAUCAACAUACCAUUGCAUUUUUUAACAAACUUUUAUUCAGUAUAAAAGCACUCUUGCUUGUGAUAUAUUGCUUAACUUUUUAUUAUUAUUACAAAAGUUAUUCAGUAAUCAUUAUUUAUUAUUAUAAUAAUAAUUAUUCUUUCUAUAGUGAGGAUUACAUUUUACUAUAGUUAUAAUAUAUUUCUGUUGCAAUUUCAGGCAUUUAGCUUUUAUUAUGAAUCGUGCUUUUAUUUGGACGUGUAUUUUUGAUGGAAGUUUAACUUCUCCAGAUAAACAGUUUGCUACAUGGCCCAGUGUAUAUAUAAAUUAUAUAAAAAUAACACUUCAGAGUGGAUUAGUGCUCUGCUCUGUCAUAUCUCAUACAAUGCAAAUGAUUCUCAUAGCCUGUGGAGUUUCCAGUGUAUGAGCGGUCUGCUUCACAGAUUCAUAUAAAGCUCAUGCAGUUCAUACAGAAUAAGAUUGCAGCAUUUCACAGUUUAAUAAUCACACUAGGACAUAUCACGAUUUUAAUUUGAUUAGUUGUGCUAUUCAGUGUAAAAGGAGUAACAGAGCACACGCUCAAAUAAGCAUGAGCAUUUGAAAGCAGUCGUGUGUCAGUAAGAUAGUGUGCAAGGUACUGGUGCUCGGUACUACCGGUACAGUAGAAUCACUGGUAUCCUUACAUCUUUUUUAUUUUAGUACCGACUUGGUACCGAUGUACCGGUACUUUUGACAACACUAGAUUCACUAUAGUAAAACUGCAGUUACCAUGUAACCAUUUUUGUGGUAAGAACCAUGGUUUUAAAAUCCAUGUUACAUGUACCACAAUGUAAUCAUGGAAUUACCAUAGCAAAAUUAACUAUUUCAGAAAAUAAAUCCCCUCUCUGCCUCCAAGGGGCUCU